UACGGGGGGAGCAAGCGUUGUUCGGAUUUACUGGGCGUAAAGGGCGCGUAGGCGGCCAGCACAAGUCAGUUGUGAAAUCUCCGAGCUUAACUCGGAAAGGUCAACUGAUACUGUGCGGCUAGAGUGCAGAAGGGGCAACUGGAAUUCUUGGUGUAGCGGUGAAAUGCGUAGAUAUCAAGAGGAACACCUGCGGCGAAGGCGGGUUGCUGGGCUGACACUGACGCUGAGGCGCGAAAGCGUGGGGAGCGAACAGG
This 254-nucleotide ribosomal RNA is filed under the name uncultured bacterium. Its description in RNAcentral is "partial 16S ribosomal RNA". It matches the Rfam family "Bacterial small subunit ribosomal RNA", at positions 524 to 776 of the family's 1533-position model. The record is from RNAcentral.